Molecule: long non-coding RNA, 334 nt
Organism: Gadus morhua (Atlantic cod)
Lineage: Eukaryota; Metazoa; Chordata; Actinopteri; Gadiformes; Gadidae
Exons: 3
Source: RefSeq, a predicted model, not a curated record
UACAAACUUGGCAACCGGUACAAAUUUGGCGUGACAGCGGCAUGGAAAUCUACACUUCAGGAAAUGCAGAGGACUACUGUGUGGUGUGCUCCUUUGCUGAAAAAAUGCAGAUGAGAGCAUGUUUGAAAUGGUGCAGUGUUAAUUGUGCAGUCGAUGGGCACAUUUUGAGUGCCCAAUAUGGCCAUGACAAUAGCGCUGUAUAUGUCUGCAUGAAAUGCCUCAAAAUAAAAUUAUGAUUUCAGAACUUUGGUUGUUUUUAUUAUUGGAUCUUUUGAAUAAUUAUUAUUUAUGCAUAUAAACAUACAGAAUCCCAUUCAGAAAUAUAGACAAGUUU